RNAcentral lists this ribosomal RNA (463 nucleotides) under uncultured bacterium. RNAcentral's name for it is "partial 16S ribosomal RNA". It matches the Rfam family "Bacterial small subunit ribosomal RNA", at positions 28 to 507 of the family's 1533-position model. The record is from RNAcentral.
GAUGAACGCUGACAGAAUGCUUAACACAUGCAAGUCUUUGGCGAAUCUGUGCUUGCACAGGCUAGCCAAGGCGGACGGGUGAGUAACGCGUAAAGAACUUGCCCUGCAGACAGGGAUAACAGACGGAAACGACUGAUAACACCUGAUACAGUUGCCGGCACGCAUGUGCCUGGCAAUGAAAAGAGAUGCUGCAGGAGAGCUUUGCGUCCUAUUAGCUUGUUGGUGAGGUGACGGCUCACCAAGGCGAUGAUAGGUAGCCGGCCUGAGAGGGUGAACGGCCACAAGGGGACUGAGAUACGGCCCUGACUCCUACGGGAGGCAGCAGUGGGGAAUAUUGGACAAUGGGGGCAACCCUGAUCCAGCAAUUCUGUGUGCACGAAGAAGGUUUUCGGAUUGUAAAGUGCUUUCAGCAGGGAAGAAGAAAGUGACGGUACCUGCAGAAGAAGCGACGGCUAAAUACGUG